CAAUGCCAUUCACGGUAUUUAGCAGGACUAAGUACCUUUUUCAUUUUUUAAGAAGUCUUGGGAGUUGAACCGAAUUUUGAAUCUACAUAAACAGAGGAGGACAAAUCAAAAGGCAGCUCAUCAAAAGUACUAAGCAACUUACUUACAAUCGAUGAAGGCAGUCAGAACCUGCAGCCUAGGCAAGGAGUCGAAUUCCCACUCUCUGCUGAUCUUAAGGGUGUCCUUAGAUCAAUCAUGAUUCUUUUUGCUCGAGUGAUCAAAACGCCUAUAGUGGGUCCUCAGUGGCCCAACACCAUCGAUGUGAUCUAUAUCAAACAAUUACUAAAACUCGUUGGCAGUCAGGUCCAAGUUAAAGGACCUGCUUAAGUUAUGGAAACCCCAUUAUCAUGCAAAUCACGUUCCGAUAGCACUAAGCAGGAGCACACUUCAUGGAGCAGAUCACCUCUUGGAAGAACUGAGGCAUGGGAAAGGUGAACCCCAACACGAAGUAGUAGGGGUUAGACUUGAUAGCUCCCUAAAACCACACGGCCCAUGGCUACUACCAUCCUUGGCCUGCUUCACACGAACCCGGAUGAAAUUGGGUGCUUAAACAUCUCGAGGAAGCCCCUGAACUGCGUAUCGAAACUUCUCUUAACAUGAGCAGCUUUGAAGUAGCUUAGCUUACUUGCAGAUCUGCCUUCAUGAUACAACGCCAGAAUGAAUUCAUUGUUCUUGUGGCUCAAGAAAGACAUGUUCGAAAGAUCUCACGAGCCCAGAAGCCGCACCUGGCCCUAUAACCUGGUCUCCUUUCCUCUGCCCAAAGGGCGCAGCAACCUAGAUUACAUGGCAUGGAGCAGACGCCCCAGC
RNAcentral lists this long non-coding RNA (846 nucleotides) under Malus domestica (apple). RNAcentral's name for it is "long non-coding RNA (MDOM_LNC005801)". The record is from RNAcentral. Lineage: Eukaryota; Viridiplantae; Streptophyta; Magnoliopsida; Rosales; Rosaceae.